Molecule: ribosomal RNA, 496 nt
Filed under: uncultured bacterium
Lineage: Bacteria
Description: partial 16S ribosomal RNA
Rfam family: Bacterial small subunit ribosomal RNA
Source: RNAcentral
GAUGAACGCUGGCGGCGUGCCUAAUACAUGCAAGUCGAGCGAACAGACGAGGAGCUUGCUCCUCUGACGUUAGCGGCGGACGGGUGAGUAACACGUGGAUAACCUACCUAUAAGACUGGGAUAACUUCGGGAAACCGGAGCUAAUACCGGAUAAUAUAUUGAACCGCAUGGUUCAAUAGUGAAAGACGGUUUUGCUGUCACUUAUAGAUGGAUCCGCGCCGCAUUAGCUAGUUGGUAAGGUAACGGCUUACCAAGGCAACGAUGCGUAGCCGACCUGAGAGGGGGAUCGGCCACACUGAAACUGAGACACGGUCCAGACUCCUACGGGAGGCAGCGGUAGGGAAUCUUCCGCAAUGGGCGAAAGCCUGACGGAGCAACGCCGCGUGGGUGAUGAAGGUCUUCGGAUCGUAAAACUCUGUUAUUAGGGAAGAACAAAUGUGUAAGUAACUAUGCACGUCUUGACGGUACCUAAUCAGAAAGCCACGGCUAACUACGU